This 1893-nucleotide ribosomal RNA is filed under the name human gut metagenome. Its description in RNAcentral is "bacterial LSU rRNA". It matches the Rfam family "Bacterial large subunit ribosomal RNA", at positions 3 to 1979 of the family's 2925-position model. The record is from RNAcentral.
UCAAGCUAAGAAGAGCGCAAGGGGAAUGCCUUGGCAUCAGGAGCCGAAGAAGGACGUGACAAGCUGCGAUAAGCUGCGGUGAGGAGCAAAUAUCCUGUGACCCGCAGAUUUCCGAAUGGGGGAACCCGGCGGAGCAAACCUCCGUCAGCGUGCGUUGAAUCAAAUAGGCGUACGUGGGAAACCGCCUGAACUGAAACAUCUAAGUAGGGCGAGGAAAAGACAUCAACAGAGAUUCCGUCAGUAGUGGCGAGCGAACGCGGAAGAGGCCAAACCGGAGGAUUUAUUCUCCGGGGUUGUGGACUCACACAACGGCAGGAUAGGUUAGAAGAACGGCAUGGGAAGGCCGGCCACAGAGGGUGAGAGCCCCGUAAUCGAAAACCGAAUCUUGUUAGUGAGGAUCCAGAGUACCGCUGGACACGAGGAACCCGGUGGGAAACAGGGGGGACCACCCUCCAAGCCUAAAUACUACCUGAUGACCGAUAGAGGAGCAGUACCAUGAGGGAAAGGUGAAAAGGACCCCGGGAGGGGAGUGAAAGAGAACCUGAAACCUUGUGCUUACAAGCAGUCAGAGCACGUUAACGUGUGAUGGCGUACUUUUUGUAGAACGGUCCGGCGAGUUAUAGUAACGAGCAAGCUUAAGGUAUUCAGUACCGGAGGCGCAGCGAGAGCGAGUCUGAACAGGGCGUAUGAAGUUCGUUGCCAUAGACCCGAAACCGGGUGACCUAUCCAUGAGCAGGUUGAAGUGGAGGUAAAACUCCAUGGAGGACCGAACCGACCUUCGUUGCAAUGACGGCGGAUGACUUGUGGAUAGCGGAGAAAUUCCAAUCGAACUCGGAGAUAGCUGGUUCUCCCCGAAAUAGCUUUAGGGCUAGCGUUGAUAAUAGAUUCCCGGAGGUAAAGCACUGAAUGUCCUAGGGGCCGAUAAGGUUACCAAAGACUAUCAAACUAAGAAUGCCGGAGAAUUGGUCAUCAGCAGUCAGACAGUGUGAGAUAAGUUUCAUUGUCAAAAGGGAAACAGCCCAGACCUACAGCUAAGGUCCCAAAUGUAUGCUAAGUGGAAAACGAUGUGGGAUUGCGAAAACAACCAGGAUGUUGGCUCAGAAGCAGCCAUACAUUAAAAGAGUGCGUAAUAGCUCACUGGUCGAGUGGUCCUGCGCGGAAAAUGUAACGGGGCUAAGCAUACAACCGAAGCUUAGGAUUGUAGAAAUACAGUGGUAGGGGAGCGUCGAAUGAGGGGUGAAGUCGCAGCGGGAGCAGCGGUGGACUUCAUUCGAGUGAGAAUGCCGGAAUGAGUAGCGAGAAUUAUGUGGGAAUCAUAAUGGUCGAAAAUCUAAGGUUUCCUGGGGAAGGUUCGUCCUCCCAGGGUAAGCCGGGAGCUAAGGCGAGGCCGAAAGGCGUAGUCGAUGCACAUACGGUAGAAAUUCCGUAGCCGCCGAACUUUAAGCAUGCUGACACAUUGAGAUAGCGGAACCCAGGCGUUGGUUGACCUGGGCGUAAGGGACCGAAAUAUAGUAGGGAAGUCCGCGAUGCUCAGUGGCGAGAAAAGGCAUGAGGUAUACUAAGGCGCCCGUACCGCAAACCGACACAGGUGGAUGAGGAGAAAAUCCUAAGACCAGCGGGAGAAGGGUUGUUAAGGAACUCUGCAAGUUGACCCCGUAACUUCGGAAUAAGGGGAGCCUCGAAAGAGGUCACAGUUAAUAGGCCCAAGCAACUGUUUACCAAAAACACAGGUUUAUGCUAAAUCGAAAGAUGACGUAUAUGAGCUGACGCCUGCCCGGUGCCGGAAGGUUAAGAGGAGAUGUCAACCGCAAGGUGAAGCAUUGAAUUGAAGCCCCGGUAAACGGCGGCCGUAACUAUAACGGUCCUAAGGUAGCGAAAUUCCUUGUCAGGUAA